This 70-nucleotide microRNA precursor is filed under the name Schistosoma margrebowiei. Its description in RNAcentral is "mir-3492 microRNA precursor family". It matches the Rfam family "mir-3492 microRNA precursor family". The record is from Rfam by way of RNAcentral. Lineage: Eukaryota; Metazoa; Platyhelminthes; Trematoda; Strigeidida; Schistosomatidae.
AGCCUUCUGUAUCCGUGCUGAGAUUUCGUCACACACCAGGGCUGAUGAGACUCCCAAGAUAAGUGAAGUG